GCCAGACUCCUACGGGAGGCAGCAGUGGGGGAUAUUGCACAAUGGGGGGAACCCUGAUGCAGCGACGCCGCGUGGGUGAAGGAGCACCUCGGUGCGUAAAGCCCUAUCGGCAGGGAAGAAACAGACGGUACCUGACUAAGAAGCCCCGGCUAACUACGUGCCAGCAGCCGCGGUAAUACGUAGGGGGCAAGCGUUAUCCGGAUUCACUGGGUGUAAAGGGAGCGUAGACGGCGACGCAAGUCUGGAGUGAAAGCCCGGGGCCCAACCCCGGGACUGCUCUUGGAACUGCGCGGCUGGAGUGCAGGAGGGGCAGGCGGAAUUCCUGGUGUAGCGGUGAAAUGCGUAGAUAUUAGGAGGAACACCAGUGGCGAAGGCGGCCUGCUGGGCUUUUACUGACGCUGAGGCUCGAAAGUGUGGGGAGCAAACAGGAUUAGAUACCCUGGUAUU
Molecule: ribosomal RNA, 447 nt
Filed under: uncultured bacterium
Lineage: Bacteria
Description: bacterial SSU rRNA
Rfam family: Bacterial small subunit ribosomal RNA
Source: RNAcentral